Molecule: ribosomal RNA, 405 nt
Filed under: uncultured bacterium
Lineage: Bacteria
Description: bacterial SSU rRNA
Rfam family: Bacterial small subunit ribosomal RNA
Source: RNAcentral
GACGAAACGCUGGGCGGCGUGCUUAACACAUGCAAGUCGAGCGGUAAGGCCCUUCGGGGUACACGAGCGGCGAACGGGUGAGUAACACGUGGGUGACCUGCCUCUAGCUCUGGGAUAAGCCUGGGAAACUGGGUCUAAUACCGGAUAUGACUCCACGGCGCAUGUUGUGGGGGUGGAAAGCCUUGUGUGGCUAGAGAGUGGGCCCGCGGCCUAUCAGCUUGUUGGUGGGGUGAUGGCCUACCAAGGCGACGACGGGUAGCCGGCCUGAGAGGGCGACCGGCCACACUGGGACUGAGACACGGCCCAGACUCCUACGGGAGGCGAGCAGUGGGGAUCUUGCGCAAUGGGCGAAAGCCUGCGCAGCGACGCCGCGUGAGGGAUGACGGCCUCGGUUGUAACGUACUU